This 545-nucleotide ribosomal RNA is filed under the name Cryptococcus sp. AtNov07DSX-Y6. RNAcentral's name for it is "LSU rRNA". It matches the Rfam family "Eukaryotic large subunit ribosomal RNA", at positions 109 to 647 of the family's 3401-position model. The record is from RNAcentral. Lineage: Eukaryota; Fungi; Basidiomycota; Tremellomycetes; Tremellales; Cryptococcaceae.
UCAAAUUUAGUAAUCUGGCCCUUGGGUCCGAGUUGUAAUCUAUAGAGGCGUUUUCCGUGCCGGACCGUGUCCAAGUCCCUUGGAACAGGGUAUCAAAGAGGGUGACAAUCCCGUACUUGACACGACGACCGGUGCUCUGUGAUACGUCUUCGACGAGUCGAGUUGUUUGGGAAUGCAGCUCAAAAUGGGUGGUAAAUUCCAUCUAAAGCUAAAUAUUGGCGAGAGACCGAUAGCGAACAAGUACCGUGAGGGAAAGAUGAAAAGCACUUUGGAAAGAGAGUUAAACAGUACGUGAAAUUGUUAAAAGGGAAACGAUUGAAGUCAGUCGUGUCGGUUGGAUUCAGCUCGGUCUCCGGGUGUAUUUCCUUCCGACGGGUCAACAUCAGUUUGGAUCGGUGGAUAAAGAUGGAGGGAAGGUGGCAUCCUCGGAUGUGUUAUAGCCCUCUGUUGCAUACGCUGGUCCGGACUGAGGCAUGCAGCUCGCCUUUAUGGCCGGGGUUCGCCCACGUUCGAGCUUAGGAUGUUGACGUAAUGGCUUUAAACGA